Molecule: ribosomal RNA, 305 nt
Filed under: uncultured bacterium
Lineage: Bacteria
Description: bacterial SSU rRNA
Rfam family: Bacterial small subunit ribosomal RNA
Source: RNAcentral
AUGCCCCUACGGGACGCAGCAGUGGGGAAUAUUGCACAAUGGGGGGAACCCUGAUGCAGCGACGCCGCGUGGGCGAUGGAGUAUUUCGGUAUGUAAAGCCCUAUCGGCAGGGAAGAAACUGACAGUACCUGACUAAGAAGCCCCGGCUAACUACGUGCCAGCAGCCGCGGUAAUACGUAGGUGGCGAGCGUUAUCCGGAAUGAUUGGGCGGAAAGGGUGCGGAGGCGGCCUGCUAAGUCUGGAGUGAAAGGUACCGGCUCAACCGGUACAGGCUCUGGAAACUGGCGGGCUAGAGAGGAGGGGAG